GCACCAGCGGUGGAGCAUGUGGUUUAAUUCGACGCGACGCGAAGAACCUUACCUGGGCUUGACAUGCACGGGAAUGUCGUAGAAAUACGGCAGCCCUUCGGGGCUCGUGCACAGGUGCCGCAUGGCUGUCGUCAGCUCGUGUCGUGAGAUGUUGGGUUAAGUCCCGCAACGAGCGCAACCCUUGUCCUAUGUUGCCAGCACGUAAUGGUGGGGACUCAUGGGAGACUGCCGGGGUCAACUCGGAGGAAGGUGGGGAUGACGUCAAGUCAUCAUGCCCCUUAUGUCCAGGGCUUCACACAUGCUACAAUGGCCGGUACAGAGGGCUGCGAAACCGUGAGGUGGAGCGAAUCCCACAAAGCCGGUCUCAGUUCGGAUCGGGGUCUGCAACUCGACCCCGUGAAGUCGGAGUCGCUAGUAAUCGCAGAUCAGCAAUGCUGCGGUGAAUACGUUCCCGGGC
Molecule: ribosomal RNA, 457 nt
Filed under: uncultured soil bacterium
Lineage: Bacteria
Description: bacterial SSU rRNA
Rfam family: Bacterial small subunit ribosomal RNA
Source: RNAcentral